UUCAGAUCUGAGUUGUGUAGCGUGGCAUUGGUCCGACGCAGUUGCACAAACUCACGAAUAUCGUCUUUUUCACAGGAUAUUUCGUAGAUUUCUAGUGGUGAAUUAUUUGGGAAAGAAGACAUUUGUGGCAAAGAAAAACGUGAUUUUGAAGAAGAUUCUUCAGACGGUAUUAAAUCAGUUGAAAGUUUGAGCGAGGAAGAAAAUUUAAAUGAUAAGGAUAGCAGUGCUGAUGAGGUAAUUGUUCAGUCAAAAAUCUCGCCGAGGUGUGAUGUUUGUGGUUCACUUCAUUUUAAAAGUUAUCGCUGUGUGACGCGAGUUUCAUUUCCAGCCUAUAUUCGUCAAGCUCUCGACGAUAAUUAUCAUAAGUUGCGUGUCUGUCGC
Xenia sp. Carnegie-2017 is the source of this 381-nucleotide long non-coding RNA. RefSeq lists it as uncharacterized. The transcript has 4 exons. NCBI's taxonomy places the organism in Eukaryota, Metazoa, Cnidaria, Anthozoa, Malacalcyonacea, Xeniidae. The record is from RefSeq and is a predicted model, not a curated record.